Molecule: ribosomal RNA, 743 nt
Filed under: Klebsiella aerogenes
Lineage: Bacteria; Pseudomonadati; Pseudomonadota; Gammaproteobacteria; Enterobacterales; Enterobacteriaceae
Description: partial 23S ribosomal RNA
Rfam family: Bacterial large subunit ribosomal RNA
Source: RNAcentral
GGGGACCAUCCUCCAAGGCUAAAUACUCCUGACUGACCGAUAGUGAACCAGUACCGUGAGGGAAAGGCGAAAAGAACCCCGGCGAGGGGAGUGAAAAAGAACCUGAAACCGUGUACGUACAAGCAGUGGGAGCACCUUCGGGUGUGACUGCGUACCUUUUGUAUAAUGGGUCAGCGACUUAUAUUCUGUAGCAAGGUUAACCGUAUAGGGGAGCCGCAGGGAAACCGAGUCUUAACUGGGCGUUAAGUUGCAGGGUAUAGACCCGAAACCCGGUGAUCUAGCCAUGGGCAGGUUGAAGGUUGGGUAACACUAACUGGAGGACCGAACCGACUAAUGUUGAAAAAUUAGCGGAUGACUUGUGGCUGGGGGUGAAAGGCCAAUCAAACCGGGAGAUAGCUGGUUCUCCCCGAAAGCUAUUUAGGUAGCGCCUCGUGAACUCAUCUUCGGGGGUAGAGCACUGUUUCGGCUAGGGGGUCAUCCCGACUUACCAACCCGAUGCAAACUACGAAUACCGAAGAAUGUUAUCACGGGAGACACACGGCGGGUGCUAACGUCCGUCGUGAAGAGGGAAACAACCCAGACCGCCAGCUAAGGUCCCAAAGUCACAGUUAAGUGGGAAACGAUGUGGGAAGGCACAGACAGCCAGGAUGUUGGCUUAGAAGCAGCCAUCAUUUAAAGAAAGCGUAAUAGCUCACUGGUCGAGUCGGCCUGCGCGGAAGAUGUAACGGGGCUAAACUGUGCAC